Molecule: non-coding RNA, 107 nt
Organism: Egretta garzetta (little egret)
Lineage: Eukaryota; Metazoa; Chordata; Aves; Pelecaniformes; Ardeidae
Source: Rfam
GUGAUCCUCUGGCAGCACAAAUCCUGUCCUUGGAAGAAUACAGAGGAUAUAGGUAUGGCCCCUGCACAAGCAUGACAUGGAUUCCUGAAGCAGCUGGCCUGGUUUUC